CCGCGGUAAUACCAGCACCCCGAGUGGUCGGGACGAUUAUUGGGCCUAAAGCAUCCGUAGCCGGUUCUACAAGUCUUCCGUUAAAUCCACCUGCUUAACAGUUGGGCUGCAGAGGAUACUAUAGGGCUAGGAGGCGGGAGAGGCAAGCGGUACUUAGUGGGUAGGGGUAAAAUCCGUUGAUCCACUGAAGACCACCAGUGGCGAAGGCGGCUUGCCAGAACGCGCUCGACGGUGAGGGAUGAAAGCUGGGGGAGCAAACCGGAUUAGAUACCCGGGUAGUCCCAGCUGUAAACGAUGCAGACUCGGUGAUGAAUAGGCUUCGUGCCUAUUCAGUGCCGCAGGGAAGCCGUUAAGUCUGCCGCCUGGGGAGUACGGUCGCAAGACUGAAACUUAAAGGAAAUUGGCGGGGGAGCACCACAAGGGGUGAAGCCUGCGGUUCAAUUGGAGUCAACGCCGGGAAUCUUACCGGGGGCGACAGCAGAAUGAAGGUCAAGCUGAAGACUUUACCAGACAAGCUGAGAGGAGGUGCAUGGCCGUCGCCAGCUCGUGCCGUGAGGUGUCCUGUUAAGUCAGGUAACGAGCGAGAUCCCUGCCUCUAGUUGCUACCAUUGCUCUCAGGAGUAAUGGGGCUAAUUAGAGGGACUGCCGUCGCUGAGACGGAGGAAGGAGGGGGCUACGGCAGGUCAGUAUGCCCCGAAACCCUCGGGCCACACGCGGGCUGCAAUGGUAAGGA
This 733-nucleotide ribosomal RNA is filed under the name uncultured crenarchaeote. RNAcentral describes it as "bacterial SSU rRNA". It matches the Rfam family "Archaeal small subunit ribosomal RNA", at positions 465 to 1195 of the family's 1478-position model. The record is from RNAcentral. Lineage: Archaea; Thermoproteati; Thermoproteota.